UGGUCCAGACUUUGAUUAUGGCUCAGGAUGAACGCUAGCUACAGGCUUAACACAUGCAAGUCGAGGGGAAACGACAUCGAAAGCUUGCUUUUGAUGGGCGUCGACCGGCGCACGGGUGAGUAACGCGUAUCCAACCUGCCCACCACUUGGGGAUAACCUUGCGAAAGUAAGACUAAUACCCAAUGACGUCUCUAGAAGACAUCUGAAAGAGAUUAAAGAUUUAUCGGUGAUGGAUGGGGAUGCGUCUGAUUAGCUUGUUGGCGGGGUAACGGCCCACCAAGGCAACGAUCAGUAGGGGUUCUGAGAGGAAGGUCCCCCACAUUGGAACUGAGACACGGUCCAAACUCCUACGGGAGGCAGCAGUGAGGAAUAUUGGUCAAUGGACGAGAGUCUGAACCAGCCAAGUAGCGUGCAGGAUGACGGCCCUAUGGGUUGUAAACUGCUUUUAUAAGGGAAUAAAGUGAGUCUCGUGAGACUUUUUGCAUGUACCUUAUGAAUAAGGACCGGCUAAUUCCGUGCCAGCAGCCGCGGUAAUACGGAAGGUCCGGGCGUUAUCCGGAUUUAUUGGGUUUAAAGGGAGCGUAGGCCGGAGAUUAAGCGUGUUGUGAAAUGUAGACGCUCAACGCCUGCACUGCAGCGCGAACUGGUUUCCUUGAGUACGCACAAAGUGGGCGGAAUUCGUGGUGUAGCGGUGAAAUGCUUAGAUAUCACGAAGAACUCCGAUUGCGAAGGCAGCUCACUGGAGCGCAACUGACGCUGAAGCUCGAAAGUGCGGGUAUCGAACAGGAUUAGAUACCCUGGUAGUCCGCACGGUAAACGAUGGAUGCCCGCUGUUGGUCUGAAUAGGUCAGCGGCCAAGCGAAAGCAUUAAGCAUCCCACCUGGGGAGUACGCCGGCAACGGUGCAACUCAAAGGAAUUGACGGAAUG
RNAcentral lists this ribosomal RNA (928 nucleotides) under uncultured Bacteroidota bacterium. RNAcentral's name for it is "bacterial SSU rRNA". It matches the Rfam family "Bacterial small subunit ribosomal RNA", at positions 1 to 920 of the family's 1533-position model. Lineage: Bacteria; Pseudomonadati; Bacteroidota. The record is from RNAcentral.